This 433-nucleotide ribosomal RNA is filed under the name uncultured bacterium. RNAcentral's name for it is "partial 16S ribosomal RNA". It matches the Rfam family "Bacterial small subunit ribosomal RNA", at positions 29 to 507 of the family's 1533-position model. The record is from RNAcentral.
AAUGAACGCUGGCGGCAUGCCUAAUACAUGCAAGUCGAACGAGACCUUCGGGUCUUGUGGCGUACGGGUGCGUAACGCGAGGGAACCUGCCCUUAGGUUUGGAAUACCUCUACGAAAGGGGUGCUAAUACCGGAUAAUGUCUUCGGACCAAAGAUUUAUCGCCUUUGGAUGGGCCCGCGUUGGAUUAGCUUGUUGGUAGGGUAAAAGCCUACCAAGGCGACGAUCCAUAGCUGGUCUGAGAGGAUGAUCAGCCACACUGGGACUAGGACACGGCCCAGACUCCUACGGGAGGCAGCAGUGGGGAAUAUUGGACAAUGGGCGAAAGCCUGAUCCAGCAAUGCCGCGUGAAUGAUGAAAGCCUUAGAGUUGUAAAGCUCUUUUACCCAGGAUGAUAAUGACAGUACCGGGAGAAUAAGCUCCGGCUAACUCCGUG